GUCAAUGGUCAAAUCACGUUGAAACGUACAAGUUCUCGUCCGAUCACUUCAGUCAAGCAACGUUGAGCAUGGUUAGUACUUAAAUGGGUGACCGUUUGGGAACACCGUGUACUGUUGGCAUU
Molecule: ribosomal RNA, 122 nt
Filed under: Wasmannia auropunctata (little fire ant)
Lineage: Eukaryota; Metazoa; Arthropoda; Insecta; Hymenoptera; Formicidae
Source: RNAcentral